Molecule: long non-coding RNA, 283 nt
Filed under: Phoenix dactylifera (date palm)
Lineage: Eukaryota; Viridiplantae; Streptophyta; Magnoliopsida; Arecales; Arecaceae
Description: long non-coding RNA (PDAC_LNC020920)
Source: RNAcentral
GCUGAAGUCGGCGAGGGUUGCCGACUUCAGCCCCGUGUCUCACAUUCUUCCCUCUUAAAAAAAAUUUCGUCCUCGAAAUUUAACAUACCUUAGCUUGCAAAAAGGUCCGGAUAUUUUUCUUUCAUCUCGUCCUCCAGCUCCCACGUGGCCUCUCGUUCUGAGUGAUUGCUCCACUGGAUCUUAACAUAAGGAAUCGUGCGCCUCCUCAACACUUGCUCUUUUCUAUCAACCACACGUACAGGCUGCUCAGGAUAUGUCAAAUCUUCUCUAAGCUGCAAAGGGG